This 253-nucleotide ribosomal RNA is filed under the name uncultured bacterium. RNAcentral describes it as "partial 16S ribosomal RNA". It matches the Rfam family "Bacterial small subunit ribosomal RNA", at positions 524 to 776 of the family's 1533-position model. The record is from RNAcentral.
UACGUAGGGUGCGAGCGUUAAUCGGAAUUACUGGGCGUAAAGCGUGCGCAGGCGGUUUUGUAAGCCAGAUGUGAAAUCCCCGGGCUUAACCUGGGAAUGGCAUUUGGGACUGUAAGGCUGGAGUAUGGCAGAGGAGACUAGAAUUCCUGGUGUAGCAGUGAAAUGCGUAGAUAUCAGGAGGAAUACCGAUGGCGAAGGCAGGUCUCUGGGCCAAUACUGACGCUCAUGCACGAAAGCGUGGGGAGCAAACAGG